GACGAACGCUGGCGGCGUGCCUAACACAUGCAAGUCGAGCGAAUGAAGUUCCUUCGGGAAUGGAUUUAGCGGCGGACGGGUGAGUAACACGUGGGCAACCUGCCUCAUAGAGGGGAAUAGCCUCCCGAAAGGGAGAUUAAUACCGCAUAAGAUUGUAGUACCGCAUGAUACAGCAAUUAAAGGAGCAAUCCGCUAUGAGAUGGGCCCGCGGCGCAUUAGCUAGUUGGUGAGGUAAUGGCUCACCAAGACGACGAUGCGUAGCCGACCUGAGAGGGUGAUCGGCCACAUUGGGACUGAGACACGGCCCAGACUCCUACGGGAGGCAGCAGUGGGGAAUAUUGCACAAUGGGGGAAACCCUGAUGCAGCAACGCCGCGUGAGUGAUGACGGCCUUCGGGUUGUAAAGCUCUGUCUUCAGGGACGAUAAUGACGGUACCUGAGGAGGAAGCCACGGCUAACUACGUG
Molecule: ribosomal RNA, 464 nt
Filed under: uncultured bacterium
Lineage: Bacteria
Description: partial 16S ribosomal RNA
Rfam family: Bacterial small subunit ribosomal RNA
Source: RNAcentral